This 486-nucleotide ribosomal RNA is filed under the name uncultured bacterium. Its description in RNAcentral is "partial 16S ribosomal RNA". It matches the Rfam family "Bacterial small subunit ribosomal RNA", at positions 30 to 507 of the family's 1533-position model. The record is from RNAcentral.
AUUGAACGCUGGCGGCAUGCCUUACACAUGCAAGUCGAACGGCAGCACGGGUGCUUGCACCUGGUGGCGAGUGGCGAACGGGUGAGUAAUACAUCGGAACAUGUCCUGUAGUGGGGGAUAGCCCGGCGAAAGCCGGAUUAAUACCGCAUACGAUCUACGGAUGAAAGCGGGGGACCUUCGGGCCUCGCGCUAUAGGGUUGGCCGAUAGCUGAUUAGCUAGUUGGUGGGGUAAAGGCCUACCAAGGCGACGAUCAGUAGCUGGUCUGAGAGGACGACCAGCCACACUGGGACUGAGACACGGCCCAGACUCCUACGGGAGGCAGCAGUGGGGAAUUUUGGACAAUGGGCGAAAGCCUGAUCCAGCAAUGCCGCGUGUGUGAAGAAGGCCUUCGGGUUGUAAAGCACUUUUGUCCGGAAAGAAAUCCUUGGCUCUAAUACAGUCGGGGGAUGGCGGUACCGGAAGAAUAAGCACCGGCUAACUACGUG